Molecule: ribosomal RNA, 480 nt
Filed under: uncultured bacterium
Lineage: Bacteria
Description: partial 16S ribosomal RNA
Rfam family: Bacterial small subunit ribosomal RNA
Source: RNAcentral
GACGAACGCUGGCGGCGUGCCUAACACAUGCAAGUCGAGCGAGUGAAUCUCCUUCGGGAGUGAAGCUAGCGGCGGACGGGUGAGUAACACGUGGGCAACCUGCCUCAUAGAGGGGAAUAGCCUUUCGAAAGGAAGACUAAUACCGCAUAAGAUUGUAGCUUCGCAUGAAGUAGCAAUUAAAGGAGCAAUCCGCUAUGAGAUGGGCCCGCGGCGCAUUAGCUAGUUGGUGAGGUAACGGCUCACCAAGGCGACGAUGCGUAGCCGACCUGAGAGGGUGAUCGGCCACAUUGGGACUGAGACACGGCCCAGACUCCUACGGGAGGCAGCAGUGGGGAAUAUUGCACAAUGGGGGAAACCCUGAUGCAGCAACGCCGCGUGAGUGAUGACGGCCUUCGGGUUGUAAAGCUCUGUCUUCAGGGACGAUAAUGACGGUACCUGAGGAGGAAGCCACAGCUAACUACGUGCCAGCCGCCGCCGUAA